This 274-nucleotide ribosomal RNA is filed under the name uncultured bacterium. RNAcentral's name for it is "partial 16S ribosomal RNA". It matches the Rfam family "Bacterial small subunit ribosomal RNA", at positions 523 to 796 of the family's 1533-position model. The record is from RNAcentral.
AUACGGAGGGGGCUAACGUUGUUGGGAAUUACUGGGCGUAAAGCGCGCGUAGGCGGAUCGUUAAGUCAGGGGUGAAAGCCCGGAGCUCAACUCCGGAACUGCCCUUGAUACUGGCGAUCUCGAGUCCGGGAGAGGUGAGCGGAAUUCCUAGUGUAGAGGUGAAAUUCGUAGAUAUUAGGAGGAACACCAGUGGCGAAGGCGGCUCACUGGCCCGGUACUGACGCUGAGGUGCGAAAGCGCGGGGAGCAAACAGGAUUAGAAACCCUAGUAGUCC